UACGGAGGGUGCGAGCGUUGUCCGGAAUCACUGGGCGUAAAGGGCGCGUAGGCGGCCUGAUAAGUAGGGGGUGAAAUCUUGCGGCUUAACCGCAAGGCUGCCUUCUAAACUGUCGGGCUAGAGCACAGUAGAGGCAGGUGGAAUUCCCGGUGUAGCGGUGGAAUGCGUAGAGAUCGGGAGGAAUACCUGUGGCGAAGGCGGCCUACUGGGCCGGACCUGACGCUGAGACGCGAAGGCGUGGGGAGCGAACGGG
RNAcentral lists this ribosomal RNA (253 nucleotides) under uncultured bacterium. RNAcentral describes it as "partial 16S ribosomal RNA". It matches the Rfam family "Bacterial small subunit ribosomal RNA", at positions 524 to 776 of the family's 1533-position model. The record is from RNAcentral.